This 660-nucleotide long non-coding RNA is filed under the name Sorghum bicolor (sorghum). Its description in RNAcentral is "long non-coding RNA (SBIC_LNC016647)". The record is from RNAcentral. Lineage: Eukaryota; Viridiplantae; Streptophyta; Magnoliopsida; Poales; Poaceae.
AACUGCAAAUUGCAACACCGAAGCAGUCCAGACAUGUUCAAGGACACACAAAAAAAAAGAGCAGGCAUAACUAUCCGUACCUCCAUGACAAUUGGAAACCAAUCAUGAGAAAGGGAACUGCAUGGUUGGGUCCAUGUAGUUGGCUACCACAUCUGUGGCGAGGACUCCAUUAUUGGAAGGAGGAAAAGCAUCGAAAAUGCUAGGCAUUGUUGGUUCCAAAGGACCUGACAUUGUAGGGACAUCAUAAUGUCCAUUGAAAUGAGCAAGAGGAUACUGCAUAUAUUGACUGUCCUCAGCAGGAAAUUCAGUGGGGAAGCUUGGAUCAGGAGCAAGGAGAUCAGUUAGUUCCAUGUAAUCAUCAGCAGACAGUUCUCUGUCAGGUGGCAGCUGGUAAUCUGUAGUUUCCACAUUGCUGUUGUUAUCCACGCCUCCUAACCCAACAAGCCCUGAUAAUUCAUUGUAGAGGCCAAAAGAGCUGACUUCAAAAGCAUGAGCCUCAGCUUCAGACAUCGGAGGAAGACCAGAGCACUGUGAAAGACAUCAAAGCUAAAUAGUUAGCAUCUGAAAGGAAUUUCUAAUCUAAAUCAGAAACAUAAAAAGAAUUUUCUAAUCUAAGGUGUGCUGCCAAGGAAACUAGUGAAAUAACAAGACUGAUUUAUA